GGCGGACGGGUGAGUAAUGCCUAGGAAUCUGCCUGGUAGUGGGGGAUAACGUCCGGAAACGGGCGCUAAUACCGCAUACGUCCUGAGGGAGAAAGUGGGGGAUCUUCGGACCUCACGCUAUCAGAUGAGCCUAGGUCGGAUUAGCUAGUUGGUGGGGUAAAGGCCUACCAAGGCGACGAUCCGUAACUGGUCUGAGAGGAUGAUCAGUCACACUGGAACUGAGACACGGUCCAGACUCCUACGGGAGGCAGCAGUGGGGAAUAUUGGACAAUGGGCGAAAGCCUGAUCCAGCCAUGCCGCGUGUGUGAAGAAGGUCUUCGGAUUGUAAAGCACUUUAAGUUGGGAGGAAGGGCAGUAAGUUAAUACCUUGCUGUUUUGACGUUACCAACAGAAUAAGCACCGGCUAACUUCGUGCCAGCAGCCGCGGUAAUACGAAGGGUGCAAGCGUUAAUCGGAAUUACUGGGCGUAAAGCGCGCGUAGGUGGUUCAGCAAGUUGGAUGUGAAAUCCCCGGGCUCAACCUGGGAACUGCAUCCAAAACUACUGAGCUAGAGUACGGUAGAGGGUGGUGGAAUUUCCUGUGUAGCGGUGAAAUGCGUAGAUAUAGGAAGGAACACCAGUGGCGAAGGCGACCACCUGGACUGAUACUGACACUGAGGUGCGAAAGCGUGGGGAGCAAACAGGAUUAGAUACCCUGGUAGUCCAUGCUGUAAACGAUGUCGAUUCGAAGGUUGUGACUUUGAGUUAUGGCUUUCGGAGCUAACGCGUUAAAUCGACCGCCUGGGGAGUACGACCGCAAGGUUAAAACUCAAAUGAAUUGACGGGGGCCCGCACAAGCGGUGGAGCAUGUGGUUUAAUUCGAUGCAACACGAAGAACCUUACCUACUCUUGACAUCCAAAGAACCAUAUAGAGAUAUAUGGGUGCCUUCGGGAACUUUGAGACAGGUGCUGCAUGGCUGUCGUCAGCUCGUGUUGUGAAAUGUUGGGUUAAGUCCCGCAACGAGCGCAACCCUUAUCCUUUGUUGCCAUCGAGUAAAGUCGGGAACUCAAAGGAGACUGCCGGUGAUAAACCGGAGGAAGGUGAGGAUGACGUCAAGUCAUCAUGGCCCUUAUGAGUAGGGCUACAAACGUGCUACAAUGGCGUAUACAAAGAGAAGCGAUCUUGCGAAAGUUAGCAAACCUCAUAAAGUACGUCUUAGUCCGGAUUGGAGUCUGCAACUCGACUCCAUGAAGUCGGAAUCGCUAGUAAUCGUGGAUCAGAAUGUCACGGUGAAUACGUUCCCGGGCCUUGUACACACCGCCCGUCACACCAUGGAA
Molecule: ribosomal RNA, 1316 nt
Filed under: uncultured bacterium
Lineage: Bacteria
Description: partial 16S ribosomal RNA
Rfam family: Bacterial small subunit ribosomal RNA
Source: RNAcentral